This is a non-coding RNA of Taeniopygia guttata (zebra finch), 1174 nucleotides long. The record is from RefSeq and is a predicted model, not a curated record. Lineage: Eukaryota; Metazoa; Chordata; Aves; Passeriformes; Estrildidae.
CCCAAAGAGACUCAUGUGUGUCUCCAGUCCUUCCUGGUGUGAUCCACUGUGGAUAAUGCAGGGAGACAUCAGAACAGCAGCUCCCCCGGGCACAGGGAGUGUGCCAGAGUGGGAAAGCAGAAAAACAAAAGGAACAUUCAGCAAAGCAUCUUCUUCCCCCACCCCUGUGCUGAGGGAGUGCACACAGGGUGUACUCUGCACUGGUUUGCAGCAGGGACUGGGACAGUUCAUUUGGCAUAAGAGAAUGGAUCUUCCCUAAAAUAAUUCCUGGGAAAGAGAUGUUUUGGCACAAGGCCACUGGAUUUUCAGGCUGGAUGGGAAGGUUCUCCUGACUGGUUCUGCCUUCUUAAAGAUUCCCCUUUUUUUUUCACUCAAAUGUCUCUUGAGAUUCACAACACGAGGUGUGGGCAGGCACAGCAGGUGCUGUGCUGACACUGGGCAUACAGGACAUUCUGGAAUCCAAAAAAACCCUCAGCCCACGUUUAAGCCCUGCCAUUAUUUCCAAAGUGGGAGCUGGCAGGUGCAGUGGCACUUCCUUCACGAGGCACUGGAAAAAUCUGGCCCUGCUGUGGAUUCAGUGAAAUGCAGGUGAAAAGGUCACUUUGCUGACACCUCUCCUAACUACAGCAAACUGAGAUCUGAAAAAUAUUUCUAAUGUUUUAUUGUAUUUCUUUCCUUUUUCUCCAUGUUAUACACAGGAACUGGGCAGAUUUGCCUGAGGGCUGCAGCAAACCAAGAACCCAGGCAGGAGCAACACCCUACUCUGGCAGCUUCCAGGCUGGAGCCUGAACCAACAGCUGCAGCAGCGGGUGAGGAAACUGGGCGCUAUAAGGAAAUCUGCAAGGUGAAGAUUUCAAGGUUACAGCUCCCAAGGAAUGUGAUUAACACGCACUGAAAAGUGGGAUUGGUGAAAUAAAGUGGUGGCACUUCACCAUUUAUUUCCUUGUUGCACAGUGUUUGCAGUGCUUGUCUAAGAAGCCUCUGCAAAGCCUCCGGCCUCUCUCUUCAGAAACCACGGCAUAAUUCCCAUCCUUUCCCUCCUGCCUCACUCCAUUAAGUAACCCUAUAGUGUGUGUGUGGCAUACAGGCUGAAAACUAUGUAGAGAUUCCAACAUUUUUCCACUGUCUUCCCAUUUCCUUGUAUAGGAAGAAGCCGAAAUAACACCAGUUUUGG